This is a long non-coding RNA of Uranotaenia lowii, 1005 nucleotides long. RefSeq lists it as uncharacterized. NCBI's taxonomy places the organism in Eukaryota, Metazoa, Arthropoda, Insecta, Diptera, Culicidae. The record is from RefSeq and is a predicted model, not a curated record. The transcript is spliced from 3 exons.
AACAAACACUUGCGGAGAAAACAAAAACCAGAAUUGAGCUCCUCAAUAAUUAUUGUUUUAUUUAAAUUACCUCUUCGAAAACAGUGAAAAGAUACUUAAAAUCUAAAAAAGACUGAAAAGUCCCUACGCUUUAUUACCUUGGCCGGAGCUCGACGACUUUCAAAACCCGUGAUGAUGGAUGAAAACGAAUCAGUUUUCUCGAAAUGGAACUUAGUUAAAACUAUUAAAUAGGUGUUUUAGGCUGCUAAACAUUACCGGGAAAAGUUGUGCAAGUGGAAAUUUUCUUCGUUAUAAGCAAUUGAGUUUCGAUUCUGGAAUCUCUGCCAAAAUAAUUCUCUACGCUGUUGCUCGUCAGUCAUCGGAAGCAGUCGAAUGCUUCUUCAACAGGUGGCUUUCGACAGAAGGUCUGGAACUGCUGCUGAUAAUCCCCAUGAGACUGUCGUGCAGGACUAUAUGAUUGAGAAAAAUCGUCAUAAUGUCCGUUGGAAGCGAAUCAAAAUCUUUAGCAAACCCGAAAGAUUAUGCUGUGUUUGACGGUUGACCUGUUUGGAGCCCACUGCCACAGGUUGACUUAUAAAAUUUCGGAACUAGGACAGAACGCAUAUUUUACCUGGAGAGUCGUUUAAAUGGAAAAACGUUCUCGCUGGAACGCUUUUAUGCAUAAGAGUCAAUAGCAAUAACUUUGAAUAUUUCUCUAUCUGCUGAACUGGUGGAUGGUGAACUGGUCUAUGUAUUAAGGAAAUUUGCAGCGGACACAGAAUGGCUGUUAGCGAAAAUGAUAGUGUAAUUGGAAUGGAUCGAAAUGAUAAUUGAUUAUCAUCAAGGAUGUCUCUCUUGGAUAAGGCAGAUCAUAAGUCAAUGUCAUACCGGUUGUUUUAACUAAGAAGUGAAGAAUAGUUUAAAAGCUAAAAUUCAAAUUUGUAUUGUAAAAUUGUGUAUUUGAAAAAUAGUCAAUUGCAUAAUAAUGAACAGAAAUAAUAGUACAAUAUUUAGAAAGCUUUUUUG